This 406-nucleotide ribosomal RNA is filed under the name uncultured bacterium. RNAcentral's name for it is "partial 16S ribosomal RNA". It matches the Rfam family "Bacterial small subunit ribosomal RNA", at positions 29 to 526 of the family's 1533-position model. The record is from RNAcentral.
AUUGAACGCUGGCGGCAGGCCUAACACAUGCAAGUCGAACGAGUGGCGGACGGGUGCGUAAUGUCUGGGAAACUGCCCGAUGGAGGGGGAUAACUACUGGAAACUGUAGCUAAUACCGCAUACCAUCGGAUGUGCCCAGAUGGGAUUAGCUAGUAGGUGCGGUAAAGGCUCCCCUAGGCGACGAGCCCUAGCUGGGCUGAGAAGAGGACCAUCCACACGGAGACUGAGACACUGUCCAGUCUCCUACGGGAGGCAGAGGUGGGGAAUGUGGCACAAGGGGCGAAAUCCUGAUGCAGACAUGCCGCGGGUAUGAAGAAGGCCUUGGGGUUUUAAAGUACUUGCAGCGGGGAGGCGUUACCCGAAGAAGAAGCACCGGCUAACUCCGUGCCAGCAGCCGCGGUAAUAC